Molecule: ribosomal RNA, 460 nt
Filed under: uncultured bacterium
Lineage: Bacteria
Description: partial 16S ribosomal RNA
Rfam family: Bacterial small subunit ribosomal RNA
Source: RNAcentral
UCUACGGGAGGCAGCAGUGAGGAAUAUUGGUCAAUGGACGAGAGUCUGAACCAGCCAAGUAGCGUGAAGGAUGACUGCCCUAUGGGUUGUAAACUUCUUUUAUAUGGGAAUAAAAUGUUCCACGUGUGGGUUUUUGUAUGUACCAUAUGAAUAAGGAUCGGCUAACUCCGUGCCAGCAGCCGCGGUAAUACGGAGGAUCCGAGCGUUAUCCGGAUUUAUUGGGUUUAAAGGGAGCGUAGGUGGAGUGUUAUGUCAGAUGUGAAAGUUUGCGGCUCAACCGUAAAAUUGCAGUUGACACUGGCAGUCUUGAGCACAGUAGCGGUGGGCGGAAGUCGUGGUGUAGCGGGGAAAUGCUUAGAUAUCACGAAGAACUCCGAUUGCGAAGGCAGCUCACUGGACUACAACUGACACUGAGGCUCGAAAGUGUGGGUAUCAAACAGGAUUAGAUACCCCAGUAGUC